This 984-nucleotide long non-coding RNA is filed under the name Coturnix japonica (Japanese quail). RNAcentral describes it as "lncRNA (ENSCJPG00005018453.1)". Lineage: Eukaryota; Metazoa; Chordata; Aves; Galliformes; Phasianidae. The record is from RNAcentral.
GGGGCCGUGACGAAUGGCUCAGAAAAGAGGGUGCUGUGAGAAACUGGAGCUGCUCUGGCGGAGUGGGUGAGAGACUGAGGAACCAGCAUGAAGUCCAGGGCUGGUGGCACCGUGAUGCACAGGGUGGAACCGCUGUGCUGCUCCCCCUGGGAAGGCCAAGAUGUACAUGGGUCAAUCAGAGCAAGGGCUGUAUGUGGGAUGGCUCUGCUCACUGUGACAUCCCCCCCCUGCUCCUGGUGCUGUGGGGCCCACUGACAGGGUUCUCAGCACCUGCAGGAGGACACGAGGAGAGAGAACAUCCCUGAUGUGCAUCCUGCACCUUGCUCGCCCAAGGCCAGGGCAGCUCCACCAGCAGCUCCUCGCUGACCCUUCCUGCACCCUGCUCCCUCAGCCCCAGCUCUCCAUCCUCAGCCCCAGGGAUGGAUCCUGCUGUCCUGCUGCCCACAGCAGGGUCCGGCCGGCAGCCUGCAGGGGACGGGCCUGGCAGGCUCCAGCAGCAGGAGGGCUCAUGCAUUACAAUCCAGUACAAUCUGUCCCCCUUCCCGCUGCCCAGCAGUAGGGGAGACGGUUACUGUUUAAUCCCAUUUGACAGCUCUUUCAUCAUCUGCCUGCCUCCCUCCAGCUUCCCCGUGGUUCCUCCAAGGCUCCUUUGUGGCCAUAAUCAAAGCCUGGUAACAAACCCUAAAGGAAGAUUUCAGGGUGAGCACACGGGGAGCUCAUCUGUUUCCCCAGAAGACUGAAGCCAAGCACAGAAUCCAGCUCUGUGGUGUGCAGAGCUGCUCACAUCUCCCAGCUCCCAGUUGUGAGUGCUCACAGCUUGGCACACCUGCACACAGAGCCAAGGACACAGUGCAGGGGGGAAGAGCCAGGUUUGGCUGCAACCCAUCUUCAGUAACCUCUAUGUUGGCACGAGGAUGGCAUGACCCGACAGCCCCGUGCCCUGCACCCAUCCAUGGCUGGGGACCCUGCACCGUGAUGUCGUUG